CUACGUGCCAGCAGCCGCGGUAAUACGGAAGGUCCUGGUGUUAUCCGGAUUUAUUGGGUUUAAAGGGAGCGUAGGCCGCAUAUUAAGUGUGUUGUGAAAAGCAGUCGCCCAACGUCUGUCUUGCAGCGCAAACUGGUGUGCUUGAGUACGCACAACGCAGGCGGAAUUCGUCGUGUAGCGGUGAAAUGCUUAGAUAUGACGAAGAACCCCGAUUGCGAAGGCAGCGUGCGGGAGCGUUACUGACGCUGAAGCUCGAAAGUGCGGGUAUCGAACAGGAUUAGAUACCCUGGUAGUCCGCACGGUAAACGAUGGAUGCCCGUUUUUGGCUUAUGAAGUCAGAGACCAAGCGAAAGCAUUAAGCAUCCCACCUGGGGAGUACGCCGGCAACGGUGAAACUCAAAGGAAUUGACGGGGGCCCGCACAAGCGGAGGAACAUGUGGUUUAAUUCGAUGAUACGCGAGGAACCUUACCCGGGCUUGAAUUGCAGAGGAAGGAUUUAGAGAUA
This 505-nucleotide ribosomal RNA is filed under the name uncultured bacterium. Its description in RNAcentral is "bacterial SSU rRNA". It matches the Rfam family "Bacterial small subunit ribosomal RNA", at positions 501 to 1008 of the family's 1533-position model. The record is from RNAcentral.